Molecule: ribosomal RNA, 484 nt
Filed under: uncultured bacterium
Lineage: Bacteria
Description: partial 16S ribosomal RNA
Rfam family: Bacterial small subunit ribosomal RNA
Source: RNAcentral
AUUGAACGCUGGCGGCAGGCCUAACACAUGCAAGUCGAGCGGAUGAAGGGAGCUUUCUCCUGGAUUCAGCGGCGGACGGGUGAGUAAUUCCUAGGAAUCUGCCUGGUAUUGGGGGAUAACGUCCGGAAACGGGCGCUAAUACCGCAUACGUCCUGAGGGAGAAAGUGGGGGAUCUUCGGACCUCACGCUAUCAGAUGAGCCUAGGUCGGAUUAGCUAGUUGGUGGGGUAAAGGCCUACCAAGGCGACGAUCCGUAACUGGUCUGAGAGGAUGAUCAGUCACACUGGAACUGAGACACGGUCCAGACUCCUACGGGAGGCAGCAGUAGGGAAUAUUGGGCAAUGGGCGAAAGCCUGAUCCAGCCAUGCCGCGUGUGUGAAGAAGGUCUUCGGAUUGUAAAGCACUUUAAGUUGGGAGGAAGGGCAGUGAGUUAAUACCUUGCUGUUUUGACGUUACCAACAGAAUAAGCACCGGCUAACUUCGUG